GUGGGGAAUCUUGCGCAAUGGGCGAAAGCCUGACGCAGCCAUGCCGCGUGAAUGAUGAAGGUCUUAGGAUUGUAAAAUUCUUUCACCGGGACGAUAAUGACGGUACCCGGAGAAGAAGCUCCGGCUAACUUCGUGCCAGCAGCCGCGGUAAUACGAAGGGGGCUAGCGUUGCUCGGAAUUACUGGGCGUAAAGGGCGCGUAGGCGGACAGCUUAGUCAGAGGUGAAAGCCCAGGGCUCAACCUUGGAAUUGCCUUUGAUACUGGCUGUCUUGAGUUUGGGAGAGGUGAGUGGAACUCCGAGUGUAGAGGUGAAAUUCGUAGAUAUUCGGAAGAACACCAGUGGCGAAGGCGACUCACUGGCCCGUUACUGACGCUGAGGCGCGAAAGCGUGGGGAGCAAACAGGAUUAGAAACCCCAGUAGUCC
This 424-nucleotide ribosomal RNA is filed under the name uncultured bacterium. RNAcentral's name for it is "partial 16S ribosomal RNA". It matches the Rfam family "Bacterial small subunit ribosomal RNA", at positions 354 to 796 of the family's 1533-position model. The record is from RNAcentral.